AAAUGUUACAGACGGACCGACGACGUUAUCAAAAGGUGCAGAUGAUGCCUUCAAUGACAGUAUUAUUGCUGAAACAGGCUUCAAAAAUGAACUACCAAUGAGAGAUUCAGCUAAUCUCACUAGAGAUGAUUUUAAUGCUUCUGAUUAUCAGAAUAACCUAAAUACAACAUUGACUUUGAAUCAUUCAGAGGCUGUAGAUGUUACAGAGGGAUGGAUAAACCCAGUAAUAGAACAACCAACAGAAGAUUCAGCAAUUAUUGACAGAGAUGCUUUCAAUGUUUCUCAGUCUUAUGAUUAUCCAGGGGAAAAAAUGAAACCUGAUCCAGAGCAAACUGAUAAAUUUGAAGAAAAGGUGACUGGAAAUGAUUCAAACGCUCUACAUGUUACAGACGGACAGACGACGUUAUCAAAAGGUGCAGAUGAUGCCUUCAAU
This is a long non-coding RNA of Cyprinodon variegatus (sheepshead minnow), 433 nucleotides long. RefSeq lists it as uncharacterized. The record is from RefSeq and is a predicted model, not a curated record. NCBI's taxonomy places the organism in Eukaryota, Metazoa, Chordata, Actinopteri, Cyprinodontiformes, Cyprinodontidae. The transcript has 6 exons.